UACAGAGGGUGCUAGCGUUGUUCGGAAUCAUUGGGCGUAAAGCGCGUGUAGGCGGCUACGCAGGUCCGUUGUGAAAACUGGAGGCUCAACCUCCAGACGUCGACGGAAACCGUGUGGCUAGAGUCCGGAAGAGGAGAGUGGAAUUCCUGGUGUAGCGGUGAAAUGCGCAGAUAUCAGGAAGAACACCAAUGGCGAAGGCAGCUCUCUGGGACGGUACUGACGCUGAGACGCGAAAGCGUGGGGAGCGAACAGG
Molecule: ribosomal RNA, 253 nt
Filed under: uncultured bacterium
Lineage: Bacteria
Description: partial 16S ribosomal RNA
Rfam family: Bacterial small subunit ribosomal RNA
Source: RNAcentral